This 73-nucleotide transfer RNA is filed under the name Stegodyphus mimosarum. It matches the Rfam family "tRNA". From Rfam's summary of the family: Transfer RNA (tRNA) molecules are approximately 80 nucleotides in length. Their secondary structure includes four short double-helical elements and three loops (D, anti-codon, and T loops). The record is from Rfam by way of RNAcentral. Lineage: Eukaryota; Metazoa; Arthropoda; Arachnida; Araneae; Eresidae.
GCCUUCAUGGUGUAAUGGUCAGCACGCUCGGCGCGUAUUCGAGAGGUCCAAGGUUCGAGUCCUGCCGAGGGCA